This 390-nucleotide RNase P RNA is filed under the name Alphaproteobacteria bacterium. RNAcentral describes it as "RNase P RNA component class A". It matches the Rfam family "Bacterial RNase P class A". From Rfam's summary of the family: Ribonuclease P (RNase P) is a ubiquitous endoribonuclease, found in archaea, bacteria and eukarya as well as chloroplasts and mitochondria. RNAcentral also lists the same sequence under 1 other name. The record is from RNAcentral. Lineage: Bacteria; Pseudomonadati; Pseudomonadota; Alphaproteobacteria.
UCAGAUGGCCGGAUGGCUGCUGCCCGAACCCUUGCGGUGCGGGGAGAGGAAAGUCCGGGCUCCACAGGAUCAGGAUGCCGGGUAACGCCCGGCGGGGGCGACCCCAGGGAAAGUGCCACAGAAAACAAACCGCCACCCUCCCGGCAACGGAACGGGUGGUAAGGGUGAAAAGGUGCGGUAAGAGCGCACCGCCGGGCCGGCAACGGGCCGGGCAUGGUAAACCCCAUCCGGAGCAAGACCAUGUAGGGACACACGUCGCCUUGCGCGACAGGCGCGAUCCUGCGCCGAUGUCCGGGUAGGUUGCUCGACGCGUCCGGCAACGGCCGCGCUAGAUGAAUAGCCGUCACCGGGAAACCGGAACAGAACCCGGCUUACAGGCCAUCUGACAGC